CGGUCUAAGGCGCUGGUUUAAGGCACCAGUCCCUUCGGGGGCGUGGGUUCGAAUCCCACUCUCGUCA
RNAcentral lists this transfer RNA (67 nucleotides) under Necator americanus (New World hookworm). It matches the Rfam family "tRNA", at positions 16 to 71 of the family's 71-position model. Rfam says of the family: Transfer RNA (tRNA) molecules are approximately 80 nucleotides in length. Lineage: Eukaryota; Metazoa; Nematoda; Chromadorea; Rhabditida; Ancylostomatidae. The record is from Rfam by way of RNAcentral.